RNAcentral lists this small nuclear RNA (184 nucleotides) under Hydatigera taeniaeformis. RNAcentral's name for it is "Taenia taeniaeformis U2 spliceosomal RNA". It matches the Rfam family "U2 spliceosomal RNA". Rfam says of the family: U2 is a small nuclear RNA (snRNA) component of the spliceosome (involved in pre-mRNA splicing). Lineage: Eukaryota; Metazoa; Platyhelminthes; Cestoda; Cyclophyllidea; Taeniidae. The record is from Rfam by way of RNAcentral.
AUUGAUUCGUUGCCUUCUCCGCCGAAACUAUGUGUAGUAUCUGUCCUUUACAGCGCAAUAUCUGCAACCUUUCCUAAUUUUAGACCAACGAAAUUAUCUGUAUUUUUCUGCGCAGGAUGGGUGCUGUGACUCUGUCCACGACUCAGUCUCGAACUGCAAUACCUCGAGGAUUGGACCAUUAAUA